Molecule: ribosomal RNA, 490 nt
Filed under: uncultured bacterium
Lineage: Bacteria
Description: partial 16S ribosomal RNA
Rfam family: Bacterial small subunit ribosomal RNA
Source: RNAcentral
AUUGAACGCUGGCGGCAGGCCUAACACAUGCAAGUCGAACGGUAACAGGAAACAGCUUGCUGUUUCGCUGACGAGUGGCGGACGGGUGAGUAAUGUCUGGGAAACUGCCUGAUGGAGGGGGAUAACUACUGGAAACGGUAGCUAAUACCGCAUAACGUCGCAAGACCAAAGAGGGGGACCUUCGGGCCUCUUGCCAUCGGAUGUGCCCAGAUGGGAUUAGCUAGUAGGGGGGGUAACGGCUCACCUAGGCGACGAUCCCUAGCUGGUCUGAGAGGAUGACCAGCCACACUGGAACUGAGACACGGUCCAGACUCCUACGGGAGGCAGCAGUGGGGAAUAUUGGACAAUGGGCGCAAGCCUGAUGCAGCCAUGCCGCGUGUAUGAAGAAGGCCUUCGGGUUGUAAAGUACUUUCAGCGGGGAGGAAGGGAGUAAAGUUAAUACCUUUACUCAUUGACGUUACCCGCAGAAGAAGCACCGGCUAACUCCGUG